Molecule: ribosomal RNA, 179 nt
Filed under: uncultured bacterium
Lineage: Bacteria
Description: partial 16S ribosomal RNA
Rfam family: Bacterial small subunit ribosomal RNA
Source: RNAcentral
CCUACGGGAGGCAGCAGUGGGGAAUAUUGGACAAUGGGCGAAAGCCUGAUCCAGCCAUGCCGCGUGUGUGAAGAAGGUCUUCGGAUUGUAAAGCACUUUAAGUUGGGAGGAAGGGCAGUAAGUUAAUACCUUGCUGUUUUGACGUUACCAACAGAAUAAGCACCGGCUAACUUCGUUGC